UACGUAGGGCGCAAGCGUUAUCCGGAAUUAUUGGGCGUAAAGAGCUCGUAGGCGGUUUGUCGCGUCGAAUGUGAAAACCCGGGGCUCAACCCCGGGCCUGCAUUCGAUACGGGCAGACUAGAGUUCGGUAGGGGAGUCUGGAAUUCCUGGUGUAGCGGUGAAAUGCGCAGAUAUCAGGAGGAACACCGGUGGCGAAGGCGGGACUCUGGGCCGAUACUGACGCUGAGGAGCGAAAGCGUGGGGAGCAAACAGG
Molecule: ribosomal RNA, 253 nt
Filed under: uncultured bacterium
Lineage: Bacteria
Description: partial 16S ribosomal RNA
Rfam family: Bacterial small subunit ribosomal RNA
Source: RNAcentral